GAACCCCUACUAGCUGUGAGCUCCUGAGGAGUCAGGCCUGAGUAUGUGGGUCAUCUAGCACAUCCUUAAUAGAAUGACUGCCUGGAUGUGACCACUCUCAUCCUCAACCCUCACACACCCUGCCAGCAUGCCUCAGACCUUACUCCAGCUCAAGAUAAGUCUCAGAUUGCAGGAUCCCUGGUGCAGGGAACAAAGGUGAAUGAUUGUCUUGUGAGCCUCCUGUUGACUGAUUCUGUUUUACAUAGCUGCACAGAGCCCUUGUGGUUAUUUGGGGUUGGUGGUGGCUUCUGUAUUACUCACUUCUGCAUGAACCAGUUAACUCAGGAUCUGAGGCCACAGUUCCUUUCUUAGUCACUGACCCAUCUGGCAGACUUGAAAUUAAUCAGACAAACAUUGUUCAUAGUUAACAUAUCCUUGGAAGUUUCUCAGCUAUAAAGAAGAGGUCUUGGUGGCUAGGGAGGCCUUUCUGUGUAUCCUUUUCUAUUCAGUGAGAGCCUAGAGGGUGCUGCCCAGCCAUAUUCUGCCUAGCCUCAGCUAUUCUCCUGAAAAAAAAUUGGCAUCUGACAACCUGGAUGGUGACUAUAGGUAGUCAAAUCCAGCUGGCUGGUCUCCUGGGGGUUAGCUUCUAUGGAGCUGCAAGUCACCUGAAAUGAUACUGGCAGUGUUAGGACAGCAUGUCCAAAGGCCUGGUUUUUUCAGAACUGGUCUCAGCAAAAUUUCUUGCCAACUUCUGCAGUUCCCAUAAGUACAUGAUAACUGAAACACUUGAAGAGCACCCCCAGCAAUGGGCUUGUGCUUUUAGUAGAAUAUGUGCUUGCUUCCAUUUAGGGGUAAGAAGGUGGGCCCCUCACCAUAUGCUGCACAGAGAAGAGAGACACCAUCACUCAUUUAUUCAUUUAACAAGUGCUUUCCAAGCCACUACUAGGUGCCAAGCACUUCCUAGGUCCUGGGGAUACAGUGGAGACUAAGAUGGAGCCAGUUCUUUCUCAUAGGGAUCUCACAGCUUAGUGAGGGAGAAAGCCAAAGAAUCAAAAUACAGAGAGGGUCUGAGGGGCCCAUUUUGAGAGCCAUCAUAGUGGUGAGGAGUGUGAGUGCUAGAGUCAGGCCGAUCAAAUCCCAGCCUGCCAUUGGCUAGCCUUGUGACUUUGAGCAAGUUAUCUUACUUCGUGGAACCUCAGGUUUCUCAUCCAUAAAAUGGGGAAGUUGGAUAGGGUAUUAUGAGGAUUGAAAUGCAUUUAUACAUGUAAAGCGUAAGUACUGGCUCAGGGUGAGCACUCAAUAAAUGGCAGUUAUACCUACUUUUAUUAGGAAGUGAUACACCUUGAGCAAAACCCCUUAGAGUAUAAGGCAUAGCAUUCUUACAUAUUUUUAAAAUUUAAAAUAAAAUUUAAAACAUCUGGCCCUUUAUAAUCAGUCCACCACAAAGAAGAGAUGGAGAAAUCACCCUUCCUUGUUUUGUAUCUAUGGGGUGCAAACAUUUAAUCCUCCCAACUGUCAAAAAAGUGGGAUUUUCACAGCCUGUUUUACAGCAGAGGAAACUGAUAUUCAGAGAGGUUAAGUAAAUUUGCCCAGUGCCACACAUCUAAUAAAUGGCUGAGCUGGAAUCAAGGCCAGCUCUUACUUGACUGCAAAAUCCAUGUUUUAUGCAGCUCCUCCACUAUCUUGGCCUCCAAGGCAGCUGGGUUUGAACACUACCCUUGCAGCCCAGUCAGCCAAUCCCUUGCUCUCCUGAAGCUUUUGCUGGUGGGCCAGCCCCACCUGCUUUCCUUGUGCACUCUGACUUGGACCCUGAAGUGAGAAGAGUUGGCACAGGACAUCUUACUUCCCUGAAAACAGUACCUGGACUUUUCUGUAUCUUCACUUCCAUUAGGCAUUGGGCAAAUGGGUCAUGCAGAUGAAAACCAUCCAAGAAAAGAGACACGGGAGUGAAAUUCACACCCACUCUGGCUUUCAGACUAUGGGUCUGAACAUUAGCCCAUGGUGUUUCUUGGCCAUACUGACCUGUGCCAUUUCAGCUGCAUUCAUCUCAGUUGGUGUUGUCUGCUGGCUGCUCUUUCUAAUUUCCCACAGGAGCAGUAAGAGCCUGAGGAAGAGUAGGGUCAGAGGAGUCUGGGAGAAUGAGGAAAUAUGGGAGCCCCAGGAACUGAAAAGGCCUGUGAGAGACUCUGAGCUUCCUGGGAACAGGUGCAGUGGCUCAUGCCUGUAAUCCCAUCACUUUGGGAGGCCGAGGCGGGCAGAUCGUGAGGUCAGGAGAUCGAGACCAUCCUGGCUAACACAGUGAAACCCCGUCUCUACUAAAAAUACAAAAAAAUUAGCCAGGCGUGGUGGCAGGUGCCUGUAUUCCCAGCUACUUGGGAGGCUGAGGCUGGAAAAUGGCGCAAACCCGGGGGGCGGAGCUUGCAGUGAGCGGAGAUUGCGCCACUGCACUCCAGCCUGGGUGACAGAACGAGACUCAGUCUCAAAAAACAAAACAAAGCAAAACAAAAACAACAACAAAAAAUUCCACAUUGACAAGGAUGGGAAUAUGAGAACAUGGAAACAGCUAUGAAAAGAUGUAAGAGAAUUAGGAGCAUUUUCUUUAAUAGAUCAUCAUUUUUUUAAAAAAAAAAACUUGCUUGUAUUUUUUUAUUUUUUAAAUAGAGACAGGGUUUUACCAUGUUGCCCAGACUAGUCUUGAACUCCUGGGCUCAAGCGAUCUUGGCCUCCCUAAGUGCUGGGAUUACAGUCAUGAGCCACUGUGCCCCGCCAUUUUUUAGUAAACCUUUCUAAUGGAUGGAACAAGUAAAACACAUGCAGUGGAUGCUCAGCAGGCCUUGAGUGUGUGAAUGAAAAAUAUUUGAACUUGUUUUUACUGGUUGAUUUCAUUGCUUAAAAAACACCUUAGCCGGACACAGUGGCGUGCGCUUGUAGUCCCAGCUACUCAUCUCUUCAAAAAAAAGUUUUAUGCUUGUUAAUUUCAUAAAAGCUAGAGGGAUCACCCCAAUCAAAUAAAGCUACUCAAAAAUAAAAUACGAAA
Molecule: small RNA, 3016 nt
Filed under: Pongo abelii (Sumatran orangutan)
Lineage: Eukaryota; Metazoa; Chordata; Mammalia; Primates; Hominidae
Description: 3prime overlapping ncRNA
Source: RNAcentral